GUGAGCUCACCUGCUGUAUUCUGUGGUUGCAGUAAAAACCUGCAGACUCUUGACCCUCCACCUCGAACCCCCUGCUGUUUUGCCCUUUGAGCUCGCCUUAUAAUGGAGUGGAGCGGCCGUUUGGACAGGCACUCGCAGGAGGUGUGGUUGACGAAGGUUACCAUGACAACAGUGCGAUCCAUCCUGGGCGGGGACAGCUCCAUCAACUGACAGGAAGAGAGAUGAAGAUCAGAGUGUGUGGGCCGCCGUGAGAUCACAUGACGUGAGGUCAUCGCUGUGGGACCAUGAGGUCAUGAUGGACGAAUAGCCGGUCGGCAGCGAGAAUUUGGCCAAUCUUCUGGGGUGUGUCAUCACACACACUGCUGGCACACACACACACACACUCAUAUGAACACACCCAUUCAUUUGUCAGUUAGACUGUCUUCCAAUAUAAACAGCAUUUAUAAAGCUAUCUUAAAUACACAGUCAUACAAACCUACACACGCAAG
Myripristis murdjan (pinecone soldierfish) is the source of this 488-nucleotide long non-coding RNA. RefSeq lists it as uncharacterized. Lineage: Eukaryota; Metazoa; Chordata; Actinopteri; Holocentriformes; Holocentridae. The transcript has 3 exons. The record is from RefSeq and is a predicted model, not a curated record.